GUUCACAUGGCGUAGUGGUUAACGCGCUUACAGUAGCUGCAUAAUUCUUUCGGCAGCAGUCGCGCGUUCGAGUCUCCCUGUCGACU
Mycena alexandri is the source of this 86-nucleotide non-coding RNA. NCBI's taxonomy places the organism in Eukaryota, Fungi, Basidiomycota, Agaricomycetes, Agaricales, Mycenaceae. The record is from the annotation of a GenBank genome assembly.